AGUUCGGAUUGCAGGCUGCAACCCGCCUGCAUGAAGUUGGAAUCACUAGUAAUCGCGGAUCAGCAUGCCGCGGUAAAUGCGUUCUCGGGCCUUGUACACACCGCCCGUCACACCAUGAGAGUCGGGAACACCCGAAGUCCGUAGCCUAACCGCAAGGGGGGCGCGGCCGAAGGUGGGCUCGAUAAUUGGGGUGAAGUCGUAACAAGGUAGC
RNAcentral lists this ribosomal RNA (211 nucleotides) under uncultured bacterium. Its description in RNAcentral is "partial 16S ribosomal RNA". It matches the Rfam family "Bacterial small subunit ribosomal RNA", at positions 1290 to 1500 of the family's 1533-position model. The record is from RNAcentral.